AAGAUGUGACCUUUAUCUCAGACUAGAGACAGAUGUAGGCCCUGCCUCCCAUGGUAGAAGGCUAGACAUACAAUCCCUGUGUGCGUAGCAGGUGAUAGCGAACAUGGAAGGUCUUAGCUCUGAACAGCAACGCUGGCUUUGCUGGGCCUCAGUGCUGGAGAAUGUCAUCUGUUUUCGUGCAAGCACUAGACAGUGGCCGGCGCAUUUCAGGAAAAUGGGUGGAGUGGGUGGAAACACGUAACCAGACCCAAUAAAGUUUUAACUUUUAUUCCUGCCUAACAUAUAGCAUGUUUUCUGCAAAAUUAUGAGUUAAAUAUAAUUUAACAGAUAAGGUGUUUAAAGUAGACGUGACAAUUUAAAAACUCUAAUGAAGACAGAAAGAAAAAGAGCCAGUAAACCAAACCAAACAAAAACAAAAUAAGUAAAAUAAGAAUACAAUCUCUCCAACUUAGAGAUAGUCCAUCCAUUCCUCUUCUUUCACUCACAGGUGGAAGGUCUCUGGAGCCACCGUAUGGAUCAGAUUCCAGAGUAAAAGGGGAUAAUGCGUGGUCGUGGCAGGAAGUGCAGAAAAGGAUUCCUGAUCUUUAUGCUUCUCGACAUUAUUGACCAUGAGAUGAUGUCCAGUUUCCAAGAAGGUGACCCACAAACCUUGGAUAUUCAUGAAGAUGAGGAAGAUCUGGAGGUAUGCUAUUUGUAUCAGAGAAGGAAUGUCUGCCAUUCUCCCAGAAAACAGUUCGUCAACCACAAGGACAUACAACCUUCAAAGCAUUGAGGUGUUCCAGAUUUCGAGAAUACAGCUGUAGACGUCGGAUCAAGGAAUAGAUCUGGGCGGAAGGGUUUUACUCCGUUCGCAUUCUCCACUCUGAAUAUCUUCUCUGAUGGAAUGAGAAUAAUUCAAAUUACAAGAAAGGAUGCAGCAGGAAGAUAUUUCAGUGGCAGCCAGGCCCUGAAUUGGUUCACCCUCCCUGGAUGGGCGCCCAGUGAAAAUGUUGCAGAGCCGAGGCCAGCACUCAACAGGAUGAAUGUGCCACUAGGAUAGAGUUUUAAUCAAUAAGAGGAAUAAUAUGAUGGAGUUGCAUGCAACUCUGCAUCUCCGCGAGUGAACAAGAUAUAUGGAGAUAUCCUGAAAUUGGUCAUCUCGCCUCAACAUUUCCUUGAAGCUAAGUUCCUGAGAAAAAUAGGAGACUCCAGCCUCCAGAGCAUUGAGGUGCUGAUUCUGUUUGCUGCCACCAUGCAUGCUGCCCCCCUGUGGUCUGCCCCCAAGCCACAGUGAACUGUGUCCAUCAGAGUCCAGGAUCUUUGGAUAAUGGAUCAUCUUCAGACGAAGGCAAGAGCAUUGAUGAUAAUAUCCCUGAGUAUUGCUAGAUACUACAUUCUGGAAGGGAAUAAAAAGACAGCACAACCAUUUGA
This is a long non-coding RNA of Canis lupus familiaris (dog), 1410 nucleotides long. RefSeq lists it as uncharacterized. NCBI's taxonomy places the organism in Eukaryota, Metazoa, Chordata, Mammalia, Carnivora, Canidae. The transcript is spliced from 8 exons. The record is from RefSeq and is a predicted model, not a curated record.